AUACGGAAGGUCCGGGCGUUAUCCGGAUUUACUGGGUUUAAAGGGAGCGCAGGCGGAGAUGCAAGCGUGACGUCAAAUUUCGGGGCUCAACCCCGUCUCGCGUCGCGAACUGCGUCCCUUGGUUGCGGGAAGGGGAGGCGGAACUCGUGGUGUAGCGGUGAAAUGCAUAGAUAUCACGAAGAACUCCGAUCGCGAAGGCAGCCUUCCGGCCCGUCAACGACGCUCAUGCUCGAAGGUGCGGGUAUCAAACAGGAUUAGAUACCCUGGUAGUCCGCACAGUAAACGAUGGACACCCGCGGUUUGGCCUGUAUGGCUGAGCCGCCAAGCGAAAGCGUUAAGUGUCCCACCUGGGGAGUACGCUGGCAACGGUGAAACUCAAAUGAAUUGACGGGG
RNAcentral lists this ribosomal RNA (393 nucleotides) under uncultured bacterium. RNAcentral describes it as "partial 16S ribosomal RNA". It matches the Rfam family "Bacterial small subunit ribosomal RNA", at positions 523 to 918 of the family's 1533-position model. The record is from RNAcentral.